Onychostoma macrolepis is the source of this 1688-nucleotide long non-coding RNA. RefSeq lists it as uncharacterized. The record is from RefSeq and is a predicted model, not a curated record. The transcript is spliced from 3 exons. Lineage: Eukaryota; Metazoa; Chordata; Actinopteri; Cypriniformes; Cyprinidae.
CUGUGAAUGGCUCGAGGCUAACCUGUGCUAUUUAUAGUCUGAUUAGAGUGGGGCUGGUGGUAUAGGCAUUGCGGCAAAUUUGUGGAGGAGUUCGCUUACAGGCACUGCUAUCUGCUUCUGCUGCAUCGUGUGCCGUUAGGAGACCCGAGUGCUGGAGUCACUACAUCCAGUGAGCCAGUGAGGACUUGGUGUGGUGCAGGGGAGGCUAGGUGUGUGUGUGUGUGUGUGUGUGUGUGUACGCGUGCGCAGACGACCUGCCGGCCUGGCCCUGGAGAAUUACUUUAAUAAUCUUGUGGUGUGUUUCCUGGGAGAGAGAAUUUUAAUUUAUUUAUUUUUGUAUUGAUACUCCCGUCUCACUACAUCUUAUUUGUUUGCCCUCAAUUGGUAAAACGUACCUGUGUCCUUUAUUGGGAGUAUUUCCCUGGCACUCCACCAGGGUGGCGUAGUCUGAUUAAACCAAUUGUGAUUUAGGGUCUUUUAGACCUAUGUGAGUGCCACAGUAAGCAAUGUACUAUAAGGGGGUAAUUCUGUGCUCUGCAUUUAACCCAUCCAAGUGCACACAAACAGUAGUGAACAUACACCUGGAGCAGUGUUCGACUGCCCGUGUUAGCUUAGCAACUUUCUAAUGACAAACUCCACUGGAUCUAUUGCUCCACUUUGUCUACAAGACAAAAAGGCAGCACUCUAGAUUUUGGAACAAAGCCUUAAGGUCAUUGCACACUGACUUGUAUACCCCAUCCUUUUCUAUCAAAAUGCAUGCUACGGAUGCGAAAACGCAGAAAAUCAAACUUGAUCCGAAUUUUUGACGGUCAAAAGUUUCGGAGGCAGUGUGUAAACGUGAUUGACACAACGUGAGGUUGUAUUUGUUUUUUUAACGUGCGAAUAUUUCAGGCUCCGUAUGCAAUGACCGUUAGUGUCAAAAUGUCAAAUUGGCUUAUUGCAAUAAACAGAAUUAUUCAAGGGUAAGCCUUUGUGCAGAGUAGGUUGGUUAUUUCUUUAAGAACGAUAGAUUGGCAUAUUUAUGUGAAGACCAUACAAAAAGUUUCAAGCAUCACCACAACUUUGUUUUCUUUCACAAGUCAGUAAUCUGUGGAAUACAUCUUCAUAGAAACCUCAAUCACUGUUCAAUAAGAAACAUUAACAAGAGGGAAUACACGAAGACAAGCAGAAUAUACCAAAGGACCAACUCCUCAAGGAGAAGAAGCUGUGUUCAGCUGUCGUCAUAUGUGCAGUGAUUUGCCGACGGGCCCCCCGCUCUUCUAUGAGAAAGCAGACAUGAGGAAGAGGAUUUGGAAUGUAAAUGUCAGCUUUUUCGCAGAGAAAGGGAGAAAAAAUAAAGUUUCUACAUGACAACAGAUGAGCAAACUCCAGAAAAUCCUGGAAGGGUGCUUAAUUAUGGACUUUAUUUUUGUUCUCUCCUGCUCAAGACCUUAGAAAAAUUGCAAUGCGUCUUGCUGAAUGUCAGUGGAAACUGAGCGGAUCUGAAAUGUCAGAGCACGUAAAGGCUCAUGAAAGAAAAUACAAGAGGAAGAGUUGACAUUAAAAGCAGCAUUAUUACAAAGCAAGUGAUGAAACAUAAAUAUUGUGAAGUAUUGAUACCAUUGCAUAUGACAUUAACUAACCCACAUUAAAGUGGUAGGAGAUUUCUCAGUCUGGCAGACUCUAAUCUAAUUGGCUGGCUUUGUGCA